This is a non-coding RNA of Rattus norvegicus (Norway rat), 5700 nucleotides long. Lineage: Eukaryota; Metazoa; Chordata; Mammalia; Rodentia; Muridae. The record is from RefSeq and is a predicted model, not a curated record.
AUGUCAACCUUAGGUCAUUCCUUAGGUGCUGUCUACCUUAAGAUUAGGAGGUAUGGUCUUGUUGGAGGAAGUGUGUCACUGGGGGUGGGCUUUAAUGUUUCAAAAGUGCAUGCCAGGCUUAGUCUUAGUCUUUCUCUCUCUGUCUCUCUCUCUCUCUCUCUGUCUCUGUCUCUGUCUCUCUCUCUCUCUCUCUCUCUCUCUCUCUCUCUCUCUCUCUCUCUCUCUCUCAUGUGCACGAGCUUUCUGACUUUUUCUGUCCACAUAUUAGGGUGUAGACUCUUAGCUACUUCUCUAGCACCAUGUCUAUUUGAAAUGUACCAUGCUCCUGACAUGAUGAUAGUGGACUAACUUCUGAAACUGUAAACAAACCCCAAUUAAAUACUUUCUUUAAAAAGAGUUGUUAUGGUCAUGGUGUCUUUUUACAGCAAUAGAAACCCGAAUUAAGAUAAAAGUUGGUUCCAGGGACUGGGGUAUUGCUGUGAUAGGCCUAACCAUGCUUUUAUCUGGAGGAAUAUUUUGAGACUUGGGGUUAGAAAAGCAGUUGAACACUUUACAUGGGGCUUAACAGGCUAUCCUAGCAGGAACAUGGAGGACAAUAGUGCCAAGGGUGAGUUAAACUGUGUGGGCCUGGCUCUAGAAGAUUCAGAGGAGAAUACUAAUAUGUAGCUUAGAGACCAUUCUUGUGAUAUUUUGCCAGACAAUAUAGCUGCUUUCUGCCCUUGUCUGUAAAGUCUGCCUGAAGCUAAAUUGAAGAGUUAUAGAUUAAUAGCUUUGGCGGAGGAAAUUUCAAAGUAGCCUAGUAUUGACUCUGUCGGGUGGUUAUUAGUGUUCGUUCUUAUGAAGAUCUAUAAUGGAAAAGGAGCAAGCUGAGCAAAGAAGAAUAGAAAAUGUACAGUUCAAGGAGAAGAGGGACACCAGGAAGUAGAAUGGAACUAAAUUCUGUAUUCAAGGAGAUAAAUAGAUUAAAGAAAAGCCUGAUGUUAGAUGGAAUAAAGGGAGUGGUGACCUCAGGGCAAGACCCCAUGCAGCUAAGCUUCCAACUUGUGAAAAGGAAUUGAAGAAAAGCUUAGGGUUGGAUGUGGUGAAAAAUACCUUUAAUCCUAGCACUCUGGGCAGAGGUGGUUGGAUCUCUGAGUUUGAGGCUACCCUGGUCUACAGAUGCAGUUUCAGGACAGCCAAGUUUAGGCACUAAAGGAAACCACUGAAAGCAGAAAGCUGGUGAAGAUGUCCUUGAGCAAGGGGGACAUGUUCCAGCCCUAGCAAGCAGCAGAAUUUGGCAGCUUUGGCCAUGUAAUUCUGGUUUUAGAAUCUCCCUUCAAGACUAAGGAAGACUGCUGAGGUGUCAGGGGUGUCCCUACAUGGAGGCUUAGAGAGGCCAUCUCAGCACCAGGUCUGCUUUGCACACCACCAUGCUUCCUGUCAUGCUGAUAAACCUCUGAGACUGUAAGACAGCCCCAAGUAAACAUUGUCCUUUGUAAGAGUUGUGGUAGUCAUGGUGUCUUUCCACAACAAUAGGACCCUGAACUAAGACAUUCCCUCAACUUUUGCUAACAGCUUCCCACUGCUCACUCGGAAGUCUCCCCGCUGCAGGACUCUGCACAAGCUGCUUUUGCACUACGCAGCCUAGCAUUGUACUCCACAGGUCAUUCUAAGACACUCACUCCAGUGUCUUCUUUCCGGCUAAUCUCCCAGUUCUCUCAGAUGAACGACAAAGAAACAUUUCCUCUGGGAAGACUCCGCCACCUCCUUCUGAUGAUCUUAAACUGUUCUCUGUCUCUGUCUUGUUUCUCUCAUACCUUAGCCUAUGUUCUCUUGCUGUAACAGAAAGCCUGAGACUGUGCAAUUUGUAAGAGUAAGAGGUUUAUUCUGCUCAGUGUUAUUGAGGUUGGAAUAUCCAGUAUUAGGAGAGGGUCUUGUUCUGCCAUACAACAUAGAGGAAAAGCAGAAGAAUGAGUGAUCACUUGUGGGAAGGGCAAAGCACAGAGGCACCCCCACUUCAUAUUUAAAUACCCUCCCUGUGGCUGAUCCAGUUCUGGGAGAAUUGCAAAUCCCUCUUAAUGAUUCAGUCACCCCUUAGCGUUCCUUCCUACCACUUCUCCAGAGUGCCAAACCUAGUAUGCAUUUCAGUGUGAGUUUGGAGGGAACAAGCCAUAUUCAAGCUUAGCAGAGAGCCAGUAGUACAAUAAAGGCUAUGGGUCAAACAGUAAACACCUAAAGAAUCUGGGUUAGAAACUUGGCUCUGCGAUUUCCCUAUUGCUCACUCUGGGCAAUAAUUGUUGAUAUCCUGCGCUCUAGCUUGCUUCUGGAAGGAUGUAGAUUGUGUACAUUUGCUUGAGCCAAAGUAAAAAUCUAAUCAGAACUUACAGAUUAAUUGAAGGAAUAUACAAAUAAGAAAAUGCUUUUGAAGGUAGUCUGACUGAAAAUGUAUCCUGCUCUAGCUCCUUGUGUGUGUGUGUGUGUGUGUGUGUGUGUGUGUGUGUGUGCGCGCGCGCGCGUGCGCGCGUGUAGCCUCACAUUGUGUGUAUACCUGUGGAGCUGAGAGGCUGAAGUUGGUGUCCUCCUUGGUCAUCUCCACCUUAGUUUUGAGAAAGUCUCUCACUGAACCUUGAGCUUACUGGUUCAAGUAAACUGUCUGGCCAGUGAGCUUCCAGGGAUCUAAUGGUCCCUGUCUUCCCAGAGCUGGGAUUACAAGCGUGUACCUGGAUUUUUAUGUGGAUUCUGUGAACUGAAACUCAGGUCUUUAUGCUUGUACAGCAAGCACUUUACCAGCUCCUAGGUCCCUCUAGCUACUUCAGAUUGUAGGACCAUGUUUCUUAUUGCUGGUCUUUAGUCAUUUCUCCUAACAAGACUCCUAGGAUGAUUGACAUACUAUAGAUUCUCUCCAGGCACUUGCUUCGUGGUGGCGUUUUCACCUUCCCUUUGUUAGAUGCCAAUACUACUGUAAUGACCUCAUCUCCCCUCUGUAACUCCUGGCUGUUUCUGCUCACAGGACGUCUAUAAGGUCUCAUCUUCAUCUACACAUCAACAUUGUUUUAGUAAGUGUUAUUAUUACACACUUCCAUGUAUCAACUGAAGUGACUAUAUAAUUAAAACCCCCUUUCUGUAUUAUACAGAUGGUUUACCAUUUAAUUUUGAAGUAUACUUAACUUGGUUGUGAAACAAAAUUAUUUUAUGUUUUUUCUCUACUUAGCCUGUGAAUAUUUAGUCUGGGGAUUUUGCAUCUACACUGAGCUGUAGGUGUUAUGAUGGAGUGCCUGGCACAAACAACCUCAUGGAAGAAAGGUGUUUUUGGCUCAUGGUUUUAGGAGGUCCAGUCUCUGGUCAUGUGACCCCAUGUACUCUGACAGAGCAUCAUGGCAGCACUGAGCAUGUGGCAGAAGAUGUUCUUCAUCUCCUACUGGAUACAAAGUUGAGGAUGAAAGAUUGGUGACUAGAUAUCUAAUCUUCAAAGUCAUAUUGGCAUUGACCUGCUUCCUCUAGUGUGGCCCUACCUCCUAACAUGUCCAGAAGCUCCCCAAAUAAUGCCAUCAGCUGGAGAUCAAAAAAGUGGAAUAUUUCAUAUCUGAAAAUUAACACAGGAAACACUGAGAUUGACUGCCUAGGGUAGCCAAUGGCCAUUUAGAAGGACCCUUGUUUCAGGGCUGUGAUGCUGUGUGUUAAUCAUAGGCAUAGUUUUGGGGCUGACUGUCUUCUUUUCUCUGUAGCCUUUCAUAGUUCCCAUGGCCACAGUGAGUUUGUGGCCCUAGGAUAGGCAUCCUCUUUCUCUGUUGCAGAGGGGCAGCCCAACGGAACGAAAUGAAAAUGUGUGGAGCCAAAUGAGGUAUUUUUCUUUCUUACCCCAAACUAUUUUUCAAAAAGCAUUUUCCUUCAUUAAUCAAAUAGUUAGGUCAUGGCUACCUAAGGAGGCUAUGAGGAAUAAUAGCAUAUGAGGAUCCUUUGGUCUGUGUCUGCUAUCUGUUGGUGUCCCUUUCAGUUGUAGGUUGAACUUGCCCUCCUAGGAGUUAUUUGCACCUUCGCAUCUUUGGUUUCUGUCAACAAAAAAAGCCCAUGAAGUAAACUCUAUUUUCAGCAUUUUUUUUUCUUUUUUUUUCGGAGCCAGGGACUGAACCCAGGGCCUUGCGCUUGCUAGGCAAGUGCUUUACCACUGAGCUAAAUCCCCAACCCCUAUUUUCAGCAUUUAUUAAUAUUAACUUGUCUGCUUUUAGGAUGUUCUCCAUACAUUUUAAUGUUUUAAACCAAAAGUUCUCCCAAAGUUCCAGUUUCUCCACAGUUGGCUCUGGGUGGCAAAGAGUUUUUGUCCUUGGGUACACAUUAAAAUGUUAGAAAUUCAUAUUUCACGGAAGCAUCAUGCUUUUGAACUUUCUACUGGCAUCAUUAGCAUUCCGAGGAGUUCACACUGAUAGUUCUAUAUUAACCCAUUUUGAGUUCUUAAUCGAGUCAUAAUAAUUUGAAGAGGAUAUGUUCCUUUCCAAUAGCACUGAGGGGAAUCUUCAAGAUGAGAGAAAGAGGUUUGAAAAAGAGUUUGGAAACCCCAGAGGAAAUGUUAAUUAGCUUCCCAAAUUUGCUCGCAGUUUGCUGUCACAGUGACUAGACUGAGUCUACUGCAUUGUCGCUUUCCGGUGUUUCUUUAGCUUCUGAGGCUAUAUGUCACCAUCUUUAACAGACCAUAACGUUAGUGGCUCGUAUCCUCUGAAUGAAAUCAGGAUAAAUAGACACAUGGUUUCUUAGUAAUUACAGCAGCACCAUACUUACCCCACAGGUUAGAUAGUCAGGAGACUGUUAUAACUAAAUACAAGUGCCAGACAGCCGGGGUUGAAGCCCAUCUCCACUAUGCACCUCCCAUGUGACUCUGGGCAAUUCUUUUAUGUUUUUCAGCUUUAUUUUCUUUGUUUGGAACGGCAGUAAUGGCAGCACCUACUUCAUAUGGGUGCUAGAUGAUUAAAUACAAUAAGUUGCCAUUUAAGUGUUCUUUAAAAUUAUUUGUAACUUUUACUUACGCUUUAGUAACUUCUUAUUUGAAUACAGUGUAUUUAGAUCAUAUGACUACCCUCUAGCUCUUCCAGGCUCUCCUCACACACCUCCCUUCCAACUCCCCCUCCUCUUCUCAUCCCACUGGGUCUAAUUAUUGUUUCCAAUAUGGGCGUGAGUGUAGGUGCCUUCCACUUGGGAAAUCUACCAGGCCAACUCCUGAAGCAAAGUGACUCUUCCUACUCCAGCGCCAUCAGCUCCAAUAGCCCUACAGCUAUGGACAGGGCCCAUGAGUCCCAUUUCUUUCCAUGCUCUAGUGCUGAUGAACCUGAUCCUGUGCAGGUCUGUGCUGGCAACCGAAGGGCUGGGAGUCCUGAGUGCAAUGGCCCCGCCAUGCCCAGAAGAUAUUCUUUUGCAGCAGGGUCUCCCCACGUAGGGGCUUUACCUCUGCCCACUCUUCUGUGAUAUUCCCUGAGCCUUGGUGGGGAGGGGGUGUGAUUCAGGGUCGAACACUCCACAGUUGCUUGUACCCCAGACUGUUGGGUCUCUGCCGUCCACUGUGUAAAGGAGCUCCUUUGACGAGGGGUCAAGUUUGCAGCAGCAGCUGCCUCACGGCAGCUAUCUACAGGCAAGUGAUAGACUUAGUGGCUAUUUCCUCUGUUAUUUUACCUUCUUUCUUUGUCAUCUUUGCUUUGAAUAGCAAACAUAUAAAGCAAAUGGCAUGUGGGUCCA